Molecule: non-coding RNA, 25 nt
Filed under: Arabidopsis thaliana (thale cress)
Lineage: Eukaryota; Viridiplantae; Streptophyta; Magnoliopsida; Brassicales; Brassicaceae
Also listed under: 3 other names
Source: RNAcentral
ACGCAAUGUGAUUUCUGCCCAGUGC